RNAcentral lists this ribosomal RNA (470 nucleotides) under uncultured bacterium. RNAcentral describes it as "partial 16S ribosomal RNA". It matches the Rfam family "Bacterial small subunit ribosomal RNA", at positions 28 to 507 of the family's 1533-position model. The record is from RNAcentral.
GACGAACGCUGGCGGCGUGCUUAACACAUGCAAGUCGAACGCUGAAGCACCAGCUUGCUGGUGUGGAUGAGUGGCGAACGGGUGAGUAAUACGUGAGUAACCUGCCCUUGACUCUGGGAUAAGCCCGGGAAACUGGGUCUAAUACUGGAUGCUACAUGUCACCGCAUGGUGGUGUGUGGAAAGGGUUUACUGGUCUUGGAUGGGCUCACGGCCUACCAGCUUGUUGGUGAGGUAAUGGCUCACCAAGGCGACGACGGGUAGCCGGCCUGAGAGGGUGACCAGCCACACUGGGACUGAGACACGGCCCAGACUCCUACGGGAGGCAGCAGUGGGGAAUAUUGCACAAUGGGCGAAAGCCUGAUGCAGCGACGCCGCGUGAGGGAUGACGGCCUUCGGGUUGUAAACCUCUUUCAGCAGGGAAGAAGCCACAAGUGACGGUACCUGCAGAAGAAGCGCCGGCUAACUACGUG